This 440-nucleotide ribosomal RNA is filed under the name uncultured bacterium. Its description in RNAcentral is "partial 16S ribosomal RNA". It matches the Rfam family "Bacterial small subunit ribosomal RNA", at positions 338 to 795 of the family's 1533-position model. The record is from RNAcentral.
CCUACGGGUGGCUGCAGUGGGGGAUAUUGCACAAUGGGGGGAACCCUGAUGCAGCGACGCCGCGUGGGUGAAGGAGCGUUUCGGCGCGUAAAGCCCUAUCGGCAGGGAAGAAGAGGCCGGUACCUGACCACGAAGCACCGGCUAACUCCGGCCCAGCAGCCGCGGUAAGACGUAGGGGGCAAGCGUUAUCCGGAUUUACUGGGUGUAGAGGGGGCGCAGACGGCAAUGCAAGCCAGGCGUGAAAGCCCCGGGCCCAACCCCGGGACUGCUCUUGGAACUGGAUGGCUGGAGUACAGGAGAGGCAGGCGGAAUUCCUAGUGUAGCGGUGAAAUGCGUAGAUAUUAGGAGGAACACCGGUGGCGAAGGCGACCUGCUGGACUGUGACUGACGUUGAGGCCCGAAGGCGUGGGGAGCAAACAGGAUUAGAUACCCGUGUAGUC